Molecule: ribosomal RNA, 301 nt
Filed under: uncultured bacterium
Lineage: Bacteria
Description: partial 16S ribosomal RNA
Rfam family: Bacterial small subunit ribosomal RNA
Source: RNAcentral
CAGCAGCCGCGGUAAUACGAAGGGGGCUAGCGUUGCUCGGAAUGACUGGGCGUAAAGGGCGCGUAGGCGGCUUGCACAGUCAGAUGUGAAAUUCCUGGGCUCAACCUGGGGACUGCAUUUGAUACGUGUGGGCUUGAGUGGGGAAGAGGGUUGUGGAAUUUCCAGUGUAGAGGUGAAAUUCGUAGAUAUUGGAAAGAACACCGGUGGCGAAGGCGGCAACCUGGUCUUUAACUGACGCUGGGGCGCGAAAGCGUGGGGAGCAAACAGGAUUAGAUACCCCCGUAGUCCCUGUCUCUUAUAC